ACCCACCGCAGUGGAAGGGCAACACUUGAGGGCAACGACGCCCAAAACAGACGAAAGGUGCGGCAGUCAUGGCGCCCCCCAUUGGCCGCAUCGCCACCGACGUUGUGGUCCGCUCGUCGAAGCGCGUGCCCUCUCUAGCCGCACCACGCAGCCACCCUCUCGCCACCACUAUCAUCUGUGCCUCUCUUCGCUCCACGGUCACUGCUGCGGCUGUUGCUGAACCAGUCACCGUCGCGUCUCCGGCGAGCGCGCUGGUGUGCAGCAGCCGCACCUUCUACGACAAGAUCCGCGAGAAGCGGGACGGGAGUGAAGACGAGGGGCCAGAUCAGAUGUUUCAGGACUUCCCCAAGGGCCCGAACCGGCAGCGUGUCCCGGCUGAGCUGCACAGGAGCAAUCAAGCCGCGGUCGAAGACGCCGAGAAGCUCAGCCGGGCUUUCUGCGUCUUUCUCUUGCUGCUGUUUGUCGGCUUGCUCUCCGUGCUGAACCCGUUCCAGAGCGACCCGUACGGCCGCCCCGAUGGGUACGGGAUGACGGAGCCAAGGCUGGUCUACGGCAGCAGCGACCUCGCCUGCCGCAGCAGCGGCAGCGGCCGCCGGCGCGAAGAGGACGAUAUGCGGAGCAUCAGACGGCUCGCGUAGAGGGUGCGUGGCGAACAGAGAAGUGGAUGGGUGCAGAGGAGCGAUAUGCGCGACAUGUACCCCCGCCCCAUGCGCUGUUGCGAGCUUGUCUGUUGGUUUUGUGUCUGCGGCCCACUCGCCGCCCCUGCUCCUUUUAUCGCUGUCCCUUGUGAUCCACUGCCGGGCGCACCGCAUCACACGGGCGAAAAAGGACAGCGCCCCACCCACCCACCCCCCUCUCUCUCUCUCUCUUGUGGUCUCGUGUUGUAAGCUGUCCGUCUGCGGGAGUCACUGACGUAUUUGAAGGAUGGAGAAGGCAUAUAUGUGUAUGCGAAGGCUGAUGUGAUGGGGUGAGGGGAGGGGGGAGGGGCCCUACUCCCUCCCUCCCCGGUUUCUUCAGCGCAUGCGCACGCUCGCACGCACCCCCUUCCAGCCACGCAGAUCAUCUUCGGCCUCCCCCCUCUCCUCUCUUUUUCCCGCUGCUGUCCGGCGCUGGCCUGUGUGUACUCGUGCGCUUUUCCUGCCCCCUCCUUCGCUCUCCAUGCCACCCUCCCUCCCUCCUCCGAUCCUGUGUUUGGUUAG
RNAcentral lists this unclassified non-coding RNA (1199 nucleotides) under Leishmania donovani. Its description in RNAcentral is "gene:LdHU3.01.0410(CDS-product:hypothetical_prote in_conserved)". Lineage: Eukaryota; Euglenozoa; Kinetoplastea; Trypanosomatida; Trypanosomatidae. The record is from RNAcentral.